CGCACGGGUGAGUAAGGUAUAGUUAAUCUGCCCUACACAAGAGGACAACAGUUGGAAACGACUGCUAAUACUCUAUACUCCUGCUUAACACAAGUUGAGUAGGGAAAGUUUUUCGGUGUAGGAUGAGACUAUAUAGUAUCAGCUAGUUGGUAAGGUAAUGGCUUACCAAGGCUAUGACGCUUAACUGGUCUGAGAGGAUGAUCAGUCACACUGGAACUGAGACACGGUCCAGACUCCUACGGGAGGCAGCAGUAGGGAAUAUUGCGCAAUGGGGGAAACCCUGACGCAGCAACGCCGCGUGGAGGAUGACACUUUUCGGAGCGUAAACUCCUUUUCUUAGGGAAGAAUUCUGACGGUACCUAAGGAAUAAGCACCGGCUAACUCCGUGC
RNAcentral lists this ribosomal RNA (389 nucleotides) under Salmonella enterica subsp. enterica serovar Schwarzengrund. RNAcentral describes it as "bacterial SSU rRNA". It matches the Rfam family "Bacterial small subunit ribosomal RNA", at positions 99 to 508 of the family's 1533-position model. Lineage: Bacteria; Pseudomonadati; Pseudomonadota; Gammaproteobacteria; Enterobacterales; Enterobacteriaceae. The record is from RNAcentral.